GACGAACGCUGGCGGCGUGCUUAACACAUGCAAGUCGAACGGAAAGGCCCUGCUUUUGUGGGGUGCUCGAGUGGCGAACGGGUGAGUAACACGUGAGUAACCUGCCCUUGACUUUGGGAUAACUUCAGGAAACUGGGGCUAAUACCCGAUAGGAGCUCCUGCUGCAUGGUGGGGGAUGGAAAGUUUCGGCGGUUGGGGAUGGACUCGCGGCUUAUCAGCUUGUUGGUGGGGUAGUGGCUUACCAAGGCUUUGACGGGUAGCCGGCCUGAGAGGGUGGGCGGCCACAUUGGGUCGGAGAUACGGCACAGACUCAUACGGGAGGCAGCGGUGGGGAAUAUUGCACAAUGGGAGGAAGCCUGAUGCAGCAACGCCGCGUGCGGGAUGACGGCCUUCGGGUUGUAAACCGCUUUCGCCUGUGACGAAGCGUGAGUGACGGUAAUGGGUAAAGAAGCACCGGCUAACUACGUG
RNAcentral lists this ribosomal RNA (468 nucleotides) under uncultured bacterium. Its description in RNAcentral is "partial 16S ribosomal RNA". It matches the Rfam family "Bacterial small subunit ribosomal RNA", at positions 28 to 507 of the family's 1533-position model. The record is from RNAcentral.